Long non-coding RNA from Hyla sarda, 323 nucleotides. RefSeq lists it as uncharacterized. The transcript is spliced from 4 exons. NCBI's taxonomy places the organism in Eukaryota, Metazoa, Chordata, Amphibia, Anura, Hylidae. The record is from RefSeq and is a predicted model, not a curated record.
GAAAGGAAGAGCCCAUGCUAAGGAAGCCCCCGCCGCCGGAGCCGCUGGGAAGAGGGUAGAAGAGCCGCAGAAGGCAACUGGAUAUUCAUAUGCUGCAGAGGAGGAAAGGGAUGAAGAAUAUAAUCCUGAAGAAUCUUCUGAUGAGGAAGAUUAUAGUAUUCAACAGGAGACGUAAAGUGACAGUGAGGAGGAAACAGCUGCAACAAUACAUGAAAUAACGCCGAAACGAAAAGCUCUUCUGGAAAGACUAAGAAAAAAGGCAGAACUACAUGGCGAGCUACAUGAGCACUCUUUCCAAAACGAUCCAGAGUGGCCAAGCAUCA